AUGUCCCCAGAAUGCUCACACCAUACCCCAUCUUGGGGUGCUCACAGGGUCCCCAUGAUCUUGGGGUGCUCACAUCCCCCCAUGUCCCCGGAAUGCUCACACCAUCACCCAUCUUGGGGUGCUCACACAGUCCCCAUGUCCCCAGAAUGUUCACACCAUCCCCAUGAUCUUGGGGUGCUCACACCCCCCAUGUCCCAAGAAUGCUCACACCAUCAUCACCCAUCUUGGGGUGUUCACACCACCCCCAUGUUCUUGGGGUGCUCACAUCACCCCAUGUCCCCAGAAUGCUCACACCAUCCCCAUGUUUUUGGGGUGAGAAUGCUCCACCAUCCCCCAUCUUGGGAUGCUCACACAGUCCCCACAUCCCCAGGAUGUUCACACCAUCCCCAUGUUCUUGGGUUGCUCACAUACCCCAUAUCCCCAGAAUGUUCACACCAUCCCCCAUCUUGGGGUGUUCACAUCAUCCCCAUGAUCUUGGGGUGCUCACACCAUCCUCAUGGCCCCAGAAUGCUCACACCAUCCCCCGUCUUGGGGUGCUCACAGGGUCCCCAUGUUCUUGGGGUGCUCACAUCCCCCCAUGUCCCCAGAAUGCUCACACCAUCCCCCAUCUUGGGGUGCUCACAGGGUCCCCAUGUUCUUGGGGUGCUCACAUCCCCCCAUGUCCCCAGAAUGCUCACACCAUCCCCCAUCUUGGGGUGCUCACAGGGUCCCCAUGUUCUUGGGGUGCUCACAUCCCCCCAUGUCCCCAGAAUGCUCACACCAUCCCCCAUCUUGGGGUGCUCACAGGGUCCCCAUGUUCUUGGGGUGCUCACAUCCCCCCAUGUCCCCAGAAUGCUCACACCAUCCCCCAUCUUGGGGUGCUCACAGGGUCCCCAUGUUCUUGGGGUGCUCACAUCCCCCCAUGUCCCCAGAAUGCUCACACCAUCCCCCAUCUUGGGGUGCUCACAGGGUCCCCAUGUUCUUGGGGUGCUCACAUCACCCACAAGUCCCCAGAAUGCUCACACCAUUCCCCAUCUUGGGGGUGCUCACAGUGUCCCCAUGACCUUGGGGUGCUCACACACCCCCAUGUCCCCAGGAUGCUCACACCACCCCAUGACCUUGGGGUGCUCACCCCAUCCCCCAUCUUGGGUGCUCAGCCCAUCCCCAUGCCUGCAUUUCCCCACUCCUGAGAAUCCGAUGAUGCGUCGUCAUGUGCUGGAAUAG
RNAcentral lists this long non-coding RNA (1203 nucleotides) under Chrysolophus pictus (golden pheasant). RNAcentral's name for it is "lncRNA (ENSCPIG00010003780.1)". The record is from RNAcentral. Lineage: Eukaryota; Metazoa; Chordata; Aves; Galliformes; Phasianidae.